UCUCUUUCCCCACAGAACCCAAGAGCUGCAUCCCCAGACUCUCCGGCAGGAUUCUGGGACAGUGUCCUUUGCACUUGCAGGCUCUUGAGGGUAGCAUGCUUGUGUGCUGUGCGCAGCCCCAGGCCAAGACUCUGCUUGGAGCAGGGUCCUGAGGACUAAAACUGACUGUCCCCUAACUCACUGAGGGACCCAUGCGAACAUGACAGGCUUCUGCAUGGUGAGGAAACCCAAGGCUAGGGCU
This 241-nucleotide long non-coding RNA is filed under the name Homo sapiens (human). Its description in RNAcentral is "HSALNT0051142". Lineage: Eukaryota; Metazoa; Chordata; Mammalia; Primates; Hominidae. The record is from RNAcentral.